This 319-nucleotide long non-coding RNA is filed under the name Setaria viridis. RNAcentral describes it as "long non-coding RNA (SVIR_LNC004654)". The record is from RNAcentral. Lineage: Eukaryota; Viridiplantae; Streptophyta; Magnoliopsida; Poales; Poaceae.
GCUUAUCCAAAUAUUUUUUAUAAUUCUUCCUUUUUUCAGAAUCUACAGUUUUUAGUAUGCACAUAUCUCUUCUUUUGCAGCUGCGGUAUUCCUUCUUAGACUACCAUGGAUCAUCAUGCAAAAUGGUUAUUCAGUUUUCAGAAGAAGCAACAGUGAUCUAUCUACCUGGGGAAAUGGAUCAUUGUCCAACUAUGUCAUUUUUUCUGCUCACUAAGAAAUGUAUUUGCAUCAGAAAAAGCAGCAUUCUAAUGAAACUCUAGGAAUCACUAAGAAAUCAUUAGCUAAUUUCUAUCUCUUAUUGGUUCUUACAUUCUUUUAC